Molecule: long non-coding RNA, 40918 nt
Filed under: Gossypium barbadense (sea-island cotton)
Lineage: Eukaryota; Viridiplantae; Streptophyta; Magnoliopsida; Malvales; Malvaceae
Description: long non-coding RNA (GBAR_LNC019854)
Source: RNAcentral
GCUGAUCUUGUAAGGGAUGUUGACACCGCACUUGCCUGGGAGUCCGCUUGCAAUACCAUAGUUGAUGCCAGAAAUGCCGGCGGCCGCACUUUUGAUGCAUUUGCAAGCUGCUUGCCGGUCUGGUGUUGUUUGGGCGGCGGAGUUGAGAGAUUUUAUGCCGCCGCAGCAACCUGGGGGAACGCCACCAGCACCAUUCCCUGUCAAGUAACCAAUGCAGGGUGCGAGGGAGCUUGUGACUUGACCACAGGUUACGGCCCCUUGAGCCAGGGGUGCACCCACCACCAUGCACAACACCGCCACACAUGCAAGCUUAAGGGACAUUGAGCUAGCCAUAUCGAUUAAUCACAAGAAAAACAAACUUGUAAGGAAAAUGCUUGCUUGGAGUAGUAGUACUAUUGCUGAUUGUCGUGGUUAGGGCUUGAGGGUAGGAGGGUUUUUAUAGCCAAAAGUAGUAGCGGGUGAUGUCUGAAUUUUACUUUCCUAGCUAUUAGGUAAGUUGAGAUUAUCCGAUCCAAACAUUAACACACCACAUUAAAAGUUGAGACCAUUCAAUUAGGUUCAACUGCCAACCUACGUGAUUAUUGUUUUCUUUCAAUACAAUUAAAACCAGCGUCCAUUUGAUUUCACUCAAUCAUGCCUCCACAGCUAGGACUCAAAUAUUGGUUUAACUUUUUUCUAGGUGUUUUCUUAUAAACAUGAGAUUUACAUUUGAUGUAUUUAUAAAUGCAUUUAUUGUCAGAAUGAUACCAUUUUAUUAAAAGUAAUUUGAUUUAUAAUUGUUUGUAUAUAUACUUUUAUAUAUUAAGUCUUUAAUUGAAUUGGUAUUACGAUUCACCCAAGCAUCUAUUUAAUUGAAAAUUUGUUAAAAUAUUCAUAUAACAAAUAUUAAUAUUAAUAUAAAUGUAUUUUUAUUUUUAUUAUAAAUAAAACUAUAAUAAGAUUUAAACUUAUGACUCAUAAAUUUUACUCUUUUUAACUUAACUAUUUCAACUAAAAUUUCAUUUAGUUUUAAUAUAAAUUUUUAUAAAUAUAUUAUUUACAUGAAUUUUCCUUUUCCAGGCGGUAUGCCAUGGAACUAAUAUAAAAUAUAAACAAAUGGUUAUUUUGUUAUUUUCAAUGGAAAAAAAAAACUUCACAAGAUUAGGACACAUGCAUGGUUUUUUUAAUAUAUAUAUAUAUAUAUCAUGCAACAUUCUAAAUCUAUUUAUAGAUUAUUUUGUUGAUUGAAUUUUUAUUUUUUUUUAUUUUGGUAAUUAUAUAAAACUAAAUAUUUUCUUCGCGCAAUGUUAAGAGCAGUUUGAAAUUUAAAAGAAGUGUGGAUUCUAAUAAUAAAUUUAGUUAUCUAAUGUUUACAUAUUUUAUUAAUUUGGUCUUAAAUAUAAAAAUUAAAUUCAACAAAAUUAGCCCUCAAUGUUUACAAAAUUUUUCAUUUUAAUUCAAAUUCUAAAAUAAUCCAAUAAAUUUAGCUCUCAACAUUUACAAAAUGAAAGGAUUUGAUUUUUAAAAUUUUAAUUUUUUUUUUUAAAAACCCAAAACACAAACCUAAAUAAACUGAAAAAGAAGAAGGAAUAAUUAUCAUCACCACGAUCUAAUCUCUCAACUUUAAAAUAAGACUUCAACUUCGGUUUAACCCCAAGACAAGGCGAAACAUUGAAAGUAAGUGCAGCGGAUGCCAUUGAUUCUCCUACCUUUUGGCUAAACACAUAAAUUUGAACAACUUCAUACAUAACUAGCAGCAGUACUAAAAAAUCAUUAAUACUAUAUUUUCAAGUACAAGAAAUUGAAAAAAGAAUCACGGGUAGAGUACAAAAAUGAAAUUUGGUGUGAACCUAGAUUAACAAAACAAGGUUCACGGUUUCUCAAAAACACAAUACUAAAUUUUUAGAAUUUCUUGUGAAGAUCAAGCAAUGAGACAAAUACUGAAAUUGGCAAUGCCUUAAUAGCAAAUAAUAAUUCAAACCAAUGUAGAAAAAAGAUGAAGAAGAAGAAGAUAGGAAAAGAAUUUUUAGUUUACAUUAAAAGCCUUGAAAAGGUAGACCGAUAGGAUUGAUUGUUUUGAAUAUUACUCAACUUUCUCAUUAAUUCUUGUACUAUUAUGGCUAAGUGUGUUUUUAGAUGGUAAUGAAUUUUUUUAAUUGUUAAUAAUUUUUACAAUUAUUACACUUGAUUUGGCAGUUGUUUUUCUUUUUAAUUUACAAAAUUUUAAAAAAUUAAAAAUUUCUAUUUUGUAAAUGCUAAGAGCUAAAUUUAUUAUUAUUUAUUUUAGAAUCUAAACUAAAGUGACAAAUUUUGUAAAUAUUUGGUGUUAAAUUUAUUGGAUUUUUAUAUUUAAAAUCAAAUUGAUAGAAUGUGUAAAGAAAGUUAAUUUUUUUAUUAGACAAAUAAAAAAUAACCCAUUUCAACACUUCCGAAAAAUUUUCAAACGGCCGUUAACAUUUAGUGAUGAAAAUAUUUGAUUUCAUAUAGUUUAAUAAUUAAAAUAAAAAUAAUUAAAAAUUUAGUAAUCAAAGUAAAACACAAGUGAUAUUAUUCUAGUGAUCAUUUCUGUACUUGACCCUAAUUUUUUUUUCAAAACACUGUUAAAAAACGAUUAAUUUCUCGUUUUGGCCGGAGUUAAAAUUUUUAAUAUAUUUGUUUUUAUUAAAUUUAAAAAUUAUAAUUUUACAUAAUAUAUUUUUGAUAGAAUACAUAUGAUAUAAUUUUAAUCAGUGACACCUGUUAAAGCUUGUUAGAUCUCCUGUAUCUCUUUCAAUCUGGUGGUAAAUGAAGCAAUCAAUGAGUAUUACAACCAGCCACAUGUCAUUCAAUUCACAUUAUAUCAAUCUUUUCCCUUUUCUCUCAUUUUGGUAGUUAAUUCCUUUUUUUGUCAUCGAAAUUAUAUUUUUUUCUCAAAUUGAUAAUUUCCUUAAUCCGUUAAGUUUGUUAAAAGAAACCUUAAUCUUAUUUAAAUUAUAUCUUUUUUUUUUUAUUUUGAUACUUAAACAUUUUUGUCACAUGUGGUAUGUAAUUUAUUUUUUCUUAAGUUGUUAGUUUAAUUAUUACUCAAAUAGUUAAGUCUAUUUAAAAAAAGAUAACUAUUUAAAAAUUACCAUAUUCGAACUAGCUAGGCCAUUAGUUCCUGGUUUAAUCAGUUUAUCUAGUUUGAUGAAAUCAAUUAUUAAAAAUUCAUAAAAAUAAAAAUGUUAAAAAAUAGAGAAAACUAGCUCAACUAGUUUUUUUUUUAAGCUCGACUCAAUCAAUCUGUAUCAGUUUGUAGGUUAAUCGGUUCAAGCCCUAUCUCCAAACUAGUAUCCCAGUUGGUUCCUAGUAUUAAGGGUGAGCAAAAUUUGAAUCGACUCGAAAAAAUUUAAAAAAGUUCAAAUUUUGAAUUAUUUGAAUCGAGUUAAUCGAAUCAACUCGAUUUUUUUUUAAUUUCAAGUUCGAGUCGAGUUGAGUUUUUGAAUUCAAAUGACUCGAAUAAUUCGAUUAAGCCGAAUACCAAACUAUAAUAUUUUACAUUUUACCUCAAACCCCAAACCCUUUUACUUUUCCCCCAAAACUUUACUCAUUCCUCCUUGUCUGCCCCUGUAACGCCCCAAAUUUUGAAUUGUUACUGUUAGUUUCUAUUUAUAAGUAAGUAUUUGCUUCAGUGGUUAAGUGUUAUGUGUUGGUGUUUGGAUCGGGGGUUCAAGUUACACUUUUAGAGAAUUUUAUUAUUCUUUUGUUUCAACUCUUAUCCUUGAAUGCUUGAAUUAAGUUUGUAUCUGCAUUAAUUUGUGUCAAGAAUGAGUCUUCUAGUUUAAUGGUUAAGUUUUGUAUUACCUAUGGUCUCGUGUUCGAGUCUCUGCGUAGGCAAUAAAGAAAUAUUUUGGCAUGCUAUCGGGAAAUCAGUUUUAUUUUAAUAAUUAUUUUUAUUUAAAACUUAUUUUUAGUUUUUUUUAUUUUGGUUCUUCUCCUUCCUUACUGUUCAUUUCCUUCUUCUUUUUUCUCCUUUUGUAACACCCCUAACUCGAAUCCGUCGCUGGAACAGGGUUAGGAGUAUUAUUGAAGUUUACAAUUUAAACAGGCAGAAAAAUUAAACAUUUCAUAACAUAUAGCAUUCAUGUUAGAAACCAAUCAUAAUUAUGCAUAUUGUCCCUAAUACGAGCCCUCGAGGCCCAAAAUACACCUUAGAAAUAAUUCGGGACUAAAUUGAAAAUUCGGAGCAUUUUUUAGAAACUUAUAAAAUUUUUAAAACUACAGGGGUCACAUGGCCGUGUGGCUAGGUUGUGUGACUCAUAUGGCCAACAGACACGCCCAUGUCUUAGACCGUGCGGGUAUUCGAAAUAGGGACACACGGUCGUGUCCCAGCCAGUGUCCAUGCCCGUGUAACUCACUAACUUGGGCCACACGGUCAAGCCAUACGCCCGUGUGCCAGGCAUUGUGAGCAUACUAACUUGCAUUCUUUAAAAGAUACAGGGGACACACGGCCAUGUCACCUGACCGUGUGUGACACACGCCCGUGUCUCUGCCCGUGUGGACAAAAAUAGGCUAUUUUUCAAGUCAUAAAUAUUCAUGUAUUCUUUAAAAGAUACAGGGGACACACGCCCGUGUCUCUGCCCGUGUCUCUGCCCAAUUUGGUACCAACCUAAACACAACAAUUUGCAUAUAACCAAGUCAUAAAUAGGCAUCCAAAACCAGCCAAAAUCAAGCUUAAAACAUGUAAUAUCAUCACAUACAACCAAUAUGCCCUUAGGCACCUCAAAUGACAACUUAUAAUAUUAAUAUUCAUGUAUUCAAUAUAGCCAAAUGUAUAACUCACUUAUAUGCAUAUUUUCAUCCAAAGUUUAUUAAGCAAAUUUACAUCAUUUCUUACCAAAUUACUUACCUUCCAAAACAUAUUAUUUGGUGCUAAAAUGUAUUUAACAUACUAACAUAUUUAACUUAUAUGCCUUACAUAUCCAGACACCAAUUCAUGAUCAAUUCUUCACAUUCCAAAACACAUAUAUGAAAUGCACAUUAGGUUACCUUUUUACCACUCUUUAUUCAAUCAUGAACCAAACUACAUGUCAACCAUAAUAAGCAAAAUAUGCACAUAUCCAAAAUUCCAUAACACAAACAAAACAAAUGGCUAAUCUCAACAAAACACAUAUAAGCCAACAUUGGCCAAACUAAUCUAUACAUGCCAUUAUAACCGAAAUUAAACAACCGAAUGUACCAAAAGAGCCAAUGGAUAGUGUGAUAUAGCUCCGACAAGCUUUCAACCAGAACGAGCUUUCGAAUCACUAAAAACACAGAAAAUAACACAGAGUAAGCAUUCAAGCUUAGUAAGUUCAUAUAGCAUAUAAUUUAACUUACCAUUUAGUCACAUUUAAGGUAAGCAUACAAAACAUAUCCAAACUCAAUUAGGAUAAAAGCCUCAACACAUAUCCUCAUCAACCAUGUUAGUCAUGUAAUUCAUAUAAAUAUCAAGAAACAUGUAUGAGCUCAACAAUAAUCAAACUUGCAUGUACAUAUAAUUUCCACAUCAUGUAUUUACAUAUCAUGUACAAAUCAUUUUCAUAUAUCUCAUGUAAAUACAUGUAGUAGUUUGUAUUGAACUCAUGUAAUAUCAUAACAGAACAGUGCCCGUUGAACCAUUUAGAUUAUUGUUGGAUACGCGGAUAGUACACAUGAGGUGUACUGAACUGUAAUUCAUCAAUUCAUGUACAUGUAUGCUCAUAUGAGCUAUAAACAGUAAGCUCCUCUGAGAUGAAUAACAAUAAGCUUGUACGAGCUGAAUAUCGGUAAGCUCAUAUGAGCUGAGUAUCGGUAAGCUCAUAAGAGCUGAAAUCGAUAACCCUAAUGACAUGUUUACCAAGCCAUGACAUUCCACUAACACAUUUAACCUUUAAAAUUAUUUCAAUUUACAAGUUUAAGAAAGAACAUAAAAGAUGAUACUUGGCUUUAUUUUACUAAAUUUUGUUAUUUACUUAAUUACUUAUUUAACCUUUAAAAUCAUUUCAAUUUACAAGUUUACUAAGCCAUGACAUUCCACUAACACAUUUAAGGGUUAUUUACCAUAUAAGGACCUCUACUUUAAAUUUUUAUAGCUAUUUAAUACCUUUAGCUAUUAGAACUUUACUUUUACACUUUACGCGAUUUAGUCAUUUUUAUCAAAUUGAACAUGUAAACGGUAAAAUUUCUUAACGAAAUUUUCAUAUGGUAAUAUUAUCAUGUUUUCGACCAUAAAAUAAUAAUAAAAUAAAAUUUUUUACUUCAUAUUUGUGGUCCCAAAACUACUAUUCUGAUUUCACUGAAAAUGGGUUGUUACACCUUUCUUGCUUGAUUGCUUCCGUAAGUUUGCUAUCGUGCUUAAUUGGGCAUUCUGUGUGGUUUCUUACAUUGAUUGCAAGGAUAUUGCGUAAGUUAUGUUGUUGUUUUUUACCUAUUUUUUCUAGACUUCGUCUGUUUCGUCGAGGUUAGAUAUUACUGUUAAUGGUUGUAAAAUCUCGUUAAUAGUUCCAAUGGAUCUUCUUUUAGGAAAAGGUUUCAAAAGUAACAUUUCCCUGUGAGAUUAGGUCCGAAUUGUUGUUGCUUGCUUGUCAGUAAUUGAAAAUUUCUAUUUUGGAUAGCUGCGUCGAAGUUUUCGACGAACGUUAGUUUUGAGUGCUAAUUUUGGCAUUUUGAGUUGAUUUAGUCAUUUAAUUCGUCAAUUAAUUGUCGUUUUAGGUUUCAGAUUCUUGUGUGUUGCUUCUACAUCGAAACUACAUCAAGUGUGUAACGAAAACUCAUUUUUCUAUGAUUUACGAAUGCUAGAAAACAUGGCUGUUAAUCACACGACCGUGUGUUAGGCCAUGUAACUUACUGUUUAUGUAUUAAAGUCACCGAGCCAAGGACGUGGGCGUGUGUCCUAGUCGUGUAACUUACUAUUUGUGGAUUGGAGUCACACAGGCUAGGGACACGUUUGUGUGUCCAGACUGUGUGAAGGAAAUUUUAUGAAUUGAGUCACACAAGCGUGUGCUUGACUAUGUCAUAGACCGUGUAACUCACUUUUUUGAGCCACACGAUCGUGUGCCAGGCCGUGUGAUAGAUCGUGUGCUACACGGGCCAGCCUUCCGGGACAUGUGAAUCCACACAAGUGUGUGGGUCAAAAUUUCAAAUUUUUUAUUAGGGCCGUAAACAUCAUUCCAGUCAAACGUAGGCCUACUGUAGGGUCUGGAUGAUCUGAUUUGGGUUAUAAAACCCAUUGACUAGUUAUCUGUUUCUGUAUAAACUGUUAUUUUAUAUACAUCAUAGAAUUGUAAACUAGAGAGUAGUUGUAUUCUGUAUUAAUUGAGUAUAACCUGAAAUUUGUAACAUCGUAUGCUUAUAUCUGUAUCUGUAACAUUGCAUCUGCAUUGGGGUUGGGAUUGAAUAAGGAGGAAGUUAUGGCAGUUAAAUAAUCUGCUAAGACUGGUGGCUAAGACACGUAAAUGUAUCUAAUUUUGGUGACUUUCGCAUUCUGUCCUAGCAAUUAGUCUGCAACCUUUUGAACGUGACAUAUGGUCACUAUGUGGUGUGUAGGGACGAUACCCUUUUUGGUGUGUAGGGUUGGAUGCAGAUGGUGUGUAAUUGACAUAUUCUACUCUAUUUCCGUAUAUAAUUCUGAGAACUGUUCUAACUUUAAGAAAUUGAAGAUCUAUUUUGUUGUUUCACUUAAUAAUAAUAUAAGUUAUACGCUAUGUAUAACACCCUUUACCCGAGACCGUGGUCGGAGUCGAGCAUGAGGUGUUACUUGACUUAACUUAAAAGUUCAGGGCAUAAAAAUUUACUUUCAAAAUUAAUUUCACCAUUCACAAUAAAGUUGUCCACCUGAGCAGCAGUCACUAAAUUAAUUAUAACUCAAGCUAAGAAACUCGAAAUUUAGAUUCGUAAAUUUUCCCUGAAACUAGACUCAUAUAUCUAUUCACAAAAAUUUUUCAGAAUUUUUUAUUUGACCAAUUAGUACAGUUUAUUAGUUGAAGUCUCCCCAGUUUCACUAAUCGACUAUCCUGACCUCUCGUCACUAAAAUUCAAUUAUCUCAUUAUACAGACUUGACAUGCUGAUUCCACUUAUUUAUACUUAAAAUAUACUCAUUAAGGAAUUUAAAAAUAUAAUUUAUAACUCAUAAUUCUAUUUGUACAAUUUUUAAUGAAUUUCUAAAGUCAGAACAGGGGACUUCAGAAUCAUUCUGACUCUGUCUCACUAAAAUUAAAAUAUCUAAAAGUAUAUAACUCUUUUGCUUACUCUAUUGCUUUCAUGUGAAAGUAGACUCAUUCAGAUUUAAUUUCAUCUCUCGCUAAACAUAUAAUUCUAUUUCUACAAUUUUUGGUAAUUUUUCAAAGUUACAUCAAUGCUGCUGCCCAAAAAUAGUUCCAUUGAAAUUUUUAAAAAAAAAUUCAAUAUAACCCCUUUAUAAUUAUCUAACCUUCCCUGCAAAUUUCAAAUCACAACCAAUUUCAGUAUUUCAACUACUUCACUUAAAUACUAAUGAAGUUCAACUAAUCAACCAUUUCAAACUAAAAACAUGUAUAGUUCAAUGUUUAACACAACCAUCACAUUCAAAUUUAUUCAUUCUAUUACUUUUUACUUCAAUUCCCUAUACAUGUCAUAUAAAUCCAAAAAGUUGUUUAACAAAAUCUACAGGAGUAAAUCUGGAUAGUGUGAUUCUUGGUGUAGAUCUGAUCCUCCGAAUGUAUAAAUACGUCAAUCUACAAGAAUCAAUAAACACACAAUUAAGCGUAUAGAAAGCUUAGUAAGUUCAUAGGCACCAAACAUAAAUCUUACCAAACAUUUAUACACUUAUACAUUAUACACCAUUACUAAGUUUACCUGUCAACCACAAUCUUUGGUGAGUUCCUUGGUAUAAACUCACUACUACUUAUUCUUUUACCAUAAUUCCUUUGGGCCCAUUUGUCACUUACCAUCCUUGAUCAAAAUUAAGGAACGGUUACGGAAAAUUGAGUACUUCACUUUCACUUUGCCAUAGUAUAACUAUGGUCUUACGUAUGAUCAAACAUCACUUGUCCUUGAUAAGAUAAGUGUAGCUAGGCAACCACUUAUCACUUUGUCACUUGAUCAGAUAAGUGCAGCUAAAGCUACCAUUUAUCACUUUAUCACCACUUAUCACUUGUUCUUGAUUAGAUAAGUGUAGCUAAAGUUACCACUUAUCACUUUGUCACCACUUAUCACUUGUUCCUAAUCAGAUAAGUGUAGCUAAAACUACCACUUAUCACUUUGUCACUUGAUCAGAUAAGUGUAGCUAAGCUAUCACUUAUCACUUUGUCACUUGAUCAGAAGUACUCAAAUCCGGUGUUCUGCUCAAUUUGAUCAUUUAUUCAGUUUUCACAUUUUUAUUUUAUUCUCAUUUCAUCAAUAAAUAUAUAUAUUUCAUCAUACAUUAUAUAAUUCAUGAAAUUAACAUUUAAUCAUUAAAUUUUAGCCAUAUGAACUUACCUGGGUUGAUUUGCUGAAUUUGUAAAAGUUUAGGGACUAAUCAGCUACUUUUUUUUUCCUCGACUUGUUUCGGGUUCUCAAUAUGAUUCAAAUAUAUGAAAAACCAACUUGGAGGGACUCUUCAAUGGUGUUUUUUGCUAAAAAAUAUGAGGAAUUGCCUAGAAACACUUUUAGUUAAGAUUUUUAUUUGUUAUUUUUUACAAAAUUUCCAAUUUUGCCCUUAUUACAUCACUUUUUCAAAUUUUUCUUCUCUUAUGUCGUCUCAACUAUUCCAUAUUGGCAUAUUUAUGCCUUAAGUCCCUCCUUAUUUACCACUUAAGCUAUUUAAUCACUUUUAACAAAUUUUACAUUAUUUUCAGUUUAAUCCUUUUUAAUUAAUUAACCACCCAAACGUUAGAAUUUUCUAACGAAAAUUUAAUACCAACUCAAUGACACUCCAUAAAUGUUUCUAAAAAUAUUUAUGGCUCGAUUUAUGAGGUUGAGGUUUCAAUACCUCAUUUUCGAUUCUAAUUAUUUUAAUAUUUAUUCUUAGUACAUUAUUCACUAUUUCAAAAAUUUUCCUAACUUCGCAUUUAACUUAUACUCACUAAAUUAAUAAUAUUUUCUACUCAUUUGUCAAAUUUAAUGAUCUCGAAUUACCAUUCCGACACCACUGAAAAUUCAGGCCAUUACAACUCUCCCCCCAUUUUGGAAAUUUCAUCACCGAAAUUUCGUACCUGAAAAUAAAUUCGGAUACUGAAAUCUCAGCAAUUCCUCUGUUUCCCAGGUUGCCUCCUCAGAUCCAUGUCGAUUCCAUAACACCUUAACUAGUGGUACAUGUUUAUUCCUCAACUCUUUAACCUUCUGAGCUAAAAUUUUCACCGGUUCCUCUGAAUAAGUCAUGUCAGGUUGAAGCUCUAUUUCCGUAUGAGGAAUUACAUGUGAUGGAUCUGAUCUGUACCGUCUCAACAUAGACACAUGAAACACAUUAUGAAUCUUUUCAAGUUCCGGGGGCAAAGCUAAUCUAUAGGUUACCGGACCGAUUCUUUCAAUGAUUUCAUACGGCCCGAUAAAUCGUGGGCUGAGUUUCCCCUUUUUGCUGAACCGCAAAACUUUCUUCCACGGUGACACUUUCAAAAAUACACGAUCACCCACAUUAAACUCUAUAUCCCUUCUCUUCAAAUUUGCAUAUGAUUUUUGCCGAUCGGAGGUAGCUUUUAAACAAUCUCGAAUAAUACGAACUUUUUCUUCAGUUUCCUGAGUCAAUUCCACUCCCACUAGUUUCGAUUCACUUAAUUCAGACCAAUAUAAUGGAGUUCUACACUUUCUUCCAUACAAAGCUUCAAACGGUGCCAUUUUAAUGCUAGUUUGAUAACUAUUAUUAUAAGCAAAUUCGGCUAAAGGUAAAUACCUUUCCCAGCUACCGCCGAACUCAAGUAUACAACACCUUAACAUAUCUUCUAAAAUCUGAAUCACUCGCUCUGACUGCCCAUCUGUCUAGGGAUGAAAAGCUGUGUUGAAAUUUAAUUUGGUGCCUAAAGCUUCCUGUAAUUUACUCUAAAAUCUCGAGGUAAAUCUCGGAUCUUGAUCUGAAAUAAUAGAUGUCGGUACCCCAUGUAACCUCACUAUCUCAGACACAUAUAACUCCGCUAACUUUUCAAGCUGAUAAUCUGCUCUGACUGGAAUAAAAUGUGCUGACUUAGUUAACCGAUCAACAAUCACCCAUAUUGAAUGUUUCUUCUUCAGAGUUACUAGUAAUCCAGAUACAAAAUCCAUCGUAACAUGUUCCCAUUUCCAAUCUGGAAUCAUAAUGGGCUGUAACAACCCUGUCGGCACUUGAUGCUCAGCUUUCACCUGUUGACAGAUCAAACAUCUUGCUACAUACUCAAAGAUUUCCCGUUUCAUUCCGGGCCACCAAUACAUUUUCUUCAAAUCACAAUACAUUUUUGUACUACCCGGGUAAAUAGAACACAUACUACUGUGAGCCUCUGAUAAAAUAUCAUUUUUCAAGUUUAAAUUAUUCGGAAUACAUAUUCUAUUACGAUAAUAUAACAUACCAUUUUCAUCAAUGGAGUAUUCUGAGCUUAACUUAUCUUGAACCAUCUGUCGCUUUAUCAUCAAUUUUGGGUCAUCAUCCUAUAACUCCCGAAUCCGUUGAAAGAACACGGGUUUAGCCUUUAAUUCUGCUAGUACAGAACCAUCCUCAUUAAUAGAUAAAUGAGCAUUCAAUGCCCGUAGUGCAAAUAAUGAUGAUUUCCGACUAAGCGCAUCUGCUGCGGCAUUUGCUUUCCCUGGGUGAUAGUCAAUGACAAGAUCAUAAUCUUUCAGCAACCCCAACCAUCGUCUCUGUGUCAAAUUUAACUCUUUCUGAGUCAUUAAAUACUUCAAGCUUUUAUGAUCAGUAUACACGUAACAUUUCUCACCAUAUAAGUACUCUCCAUAUCUUCAAAGCAAACACGAUCGCUGCCAAUUCCAAAUCAUGUGUAGGAUAAUUCUUGUCGUGCGGUUUCAGUUGCCAAGAAGCAUAUGCCACCACUUUGCCUGACUGAAUAAGUACACAGCCCAACCCAUUUACAGAUGCAUCACUAUAUACUACAAACGGUACACCCGAUUCUGGUUGAGUCAACACUGGAGCCUCUGUCAACAUCUUUUUCAACUGAUCGAAACUCCGCUGACAUUCAUCUAACCAUAUAAAUUCAACAUUCUUUUGUAGCAAUCGAGUUAACGGUAAGGUAAUCAUUGAGAAAUCUUUGACAAAUCGACGAUAAUAACCUGCCAAUCGUAGAAAACUCUGCACUUCAGUCACAUUCUUCGGAACUUUCCAAUUUAUCACUGCCGCUACCUUACUUGGAUCCACUCUUAUUCCAUCAGCUGAUACAAUAUGACCCAAAAAUGCAACUUCAUGGAGCCAAAAUUCACAUUUGCUGAAUUUGGCAUACAAUUGUUUCUCCCACAAAGUCUGUAAUACAAUCAUUAGAUGUUGUGCAUGUUCGGACUCUGUCUUUGAAUAAAUCAAUAUAUCGUCAAUGAACACAACCACAAAUCUAUCCAAAUAUGACUGAAAAAUUCUAUUCAUCAAAUCCAUAAAAGCAGCAGGGGCAUUGGUUAAACCAAAUGGCAUCACCAAAAAUUCAAAAUGACCAUAUCGAGUUCGAAAGGCAGUUUUCGGCACUUCACACUCUUUAACUUUCAACUGAUAAUACUCGGAUCGAAGAUCUAUCAUGGAAAAUACUGUAGCACCUUUCAACUGAUCAAACAAAUCAUCAAUAUGAGGCAAAGGAUUUUUAUUCUUUACUGUUACCUUAUUCAACUGUCUGUAAUCUAUACACAGUCUUAAAAAACCGUCCUUCAUUUUCACAAACAAGACAGGUGUACCCCAGGGCGACAUACUCGGUCUGAUGAACCCUUUAUCUAAUAACUCCUGCAGCUGCGCCUUCCGUUCUUUUAACUCGACUGGAGCCAUUCUGUAUGGUGUCAUUGAGAUAGGAGUUGUUCCGGGGAUCACAUCAAUUACAAAUUCAACUUCUCUAUCAGGUGGUAGACCGGGUAACUCUUCAGGGAACAUAUCAGGGAAUUCAUUCACCAUUGGCACUUGUUCGAGCUUCAAACCAGAACCCUGAGUAUCCAGGAUAUAGGCCAAGAAUGCUUCGUUGCCUUUGUGUAAUAACCUCUGAGCAGAGAGAGCUAAAAUAAUUCUGACUGUAUCACCCAGAUUUUCAGACCCAACUGAGAUUAUAUCUCCCGUUUGACAUUUCAAACUGAUUUGUUUAUCACGAUAAUUCACUACCGCAUCAUGUCUCAUUAACCAGUCCAUCCCCAGAAUAAUGUCAAAUUCCCGAAAAGGUAACAACAUCAAAUCAGCGAGGAAUUCAUAGCCUUUCACUUUCAGUGGACAAUUACGACAUAUCAAAUUAACCAUCACACUUUGACCUAAUGGGUUUGUGACUUGUAUAUCAAAUUCAGUGGACUCAACAGAUAAUUUCUUUUUAGAUGCUAACAUAGUGCAAAUAUAUGAAUGAGUAGAUCCAGGGUCUAUCAAUGCAUAAACAAUAACAUCAUAAAGAUAGAAAGUACCAGCAAUUACAUCAGGAGCCGUAGCCUCUUUCCUUGCUCGAAUGGCGUAGGUACGUGCUGGUGCUCUAUUCUCUGAUCGACCAACUGAUUCCCUCGUACCCGAACGGGUAGUCCCUGUAGCACUGCUCUGGCCCGAACGUCUACUUUUUUGGGGAAUGGUUCUCUGUAUUUCUUUCUGUUCCACUUCAUCUUUUUACAGUCGGGAACAAUCUCGAAUAAGAUGAUUAGUACCCUCACAUUUUUAACAAGCCCCUAUCUUGGUCCUGCAUUCUCUGAAAUGAUAUCUUCCACAAUAUUGACACUUAGGCCGGGGAGCAUUCUGAACACUGCUCACACUUGCUGGAGGUCUAUCGAAUACCCUGAAAUCAGAUUGUCUUGGUCUAUCUCUACCCGAUCUUCUCGACAGUGAUGUAGUUCGACUAAUUUCUUCUCUAGAUUUGUUCACUGGUAAAUCUAAAAAUGACUUAGAAGCACCUCUUUUGAAUGGCUCUUUACUUUUUCGAUCCCGCUACAUUUUUCUGUUGUAUACUUCUUCGAGCUUUUGAGCACGGUCUGACAGAACAGGGAACUCUCGUAUUUCAUUACCCCCAAUCAUCAUUCUAAUUUCAUCAUUUAACCCUUCUUCAAACCUGAUACACAUUUCUUCUUUAAUAAGUACAAUGUCUCGGGCAUAUUUGCUGAGGUAGACAAAUUCUCUUUCGUAUUCAGCCACUGAUUUAUCUCCCUGGCGUAGGUCGAGAAAUUCCCUUUUAUUUUUAUCCAAAUACCGUCUGCCCACAUAUUUCUUCUUAAAUUCAUUUUGGAAAAAUUCCCAAUAAAUUUUCUCUGUCGGAACCACAUCCUCAAUCGUCUCCCACCAACUAUAAGCUUCUUCUUUCAAUAGAGACACAACACAACUCAAAUAAUCAUCUAGUGAGCAAACCAUUUCUUUAAAAAUUCUUAUUAAACUCUGUAACCAAUAUUCAGCUUUGACGGGAUCUUUAUCAGUCCUUCCCCGAAAUUCUUCGGCUCCAAGUUUUUUAAGCCUUUCCAAUGGAGAACGCUUUCUGGAUUCAGUCGUUGUAAAAGGUGGAGGAGCAACCGGGUGUGCCACCGAUGGAGCAGUAGGGGGAGGAGGUGGUUCAGCCUGAUUUCUUUCUUGCCUCAUUUCAGUAUAUCAUUGAUUCAUAAUCCCAUAAAUCAUAUUCUUUAACUCUUGCUCUCGCAUUUGGGAGAUCGGAACAUCACUGCUUGUUCUUUGUUUAGAAUUAUGUAUUCUACUAUUAACUUCUUCUUUCUCAGUACGUUUAGGUAUAUCUGACAUCUCCAUAACCGGAGAAUAUCUACUAUUAACUUCUUCUUACUGGAUUCAGUCGUUGUAAGAGGUGGAGAAGCAACCGGGGGUACCACCGAUGGAGCAGUAGGCAGAGGAGGUGGUUCAGCCUGAUUUCUUUCUUGCCUCAUUUCAGUAUACCACUGAUUCAUAAUCCCAUAAAUCAUAUUCUUUAACUCUUGCUCCCGUAUUUGGGAGAUCAGAACACCACUGCUUGUUCUUUGUUCAGAAUUAUGUAUUCUACUAUUAACUUCUUCUUGCUCAGUACGUUCAGGUAUAUCUGACAUCUCUAUAACCGGAGAAUAUCUAUAAAAAUAACAAAGAUUAGAUCGCAUCAUACGCAUUACACUAUCACAGAUUUAUAUGGCAUGUAUUUCUAAACACUUUACACUUUACACAUAUUCCGAGAACCGGCUAAACCUGGAUCUGAUACCAAUAAAAUGUAACACCCUUUACCUGAGACCGUUUCCAGAGUCGAGCAUGAGGCGUUACUUGACUUAACUUAAAAGUUCAGGGCAUAAAAAAUUACUUUCAAAAUUAAUUUCACCAUUCACAAUAAAGCUGUCCACCCACGCAGCAAUCUCUAAAUUAAUUAUAACUCAAGAUGCGAAACUCGAAAUUUAGAUCUGUAUAUUUUACCUAAAACUAGACUCAUAUAUCUAUUCACUACAAAAUUUUCAGACUUUUUGGUUUGGCAAAUUAGUACAGUUUAUUAAUUGAAGUCUCCCCUGUUUCACUAAUAGACUAUCCUGACCUCUCGUCACUAAAAUUCAAUUAUCUCAUUAUACAAACUUGACUUGGUGCUUUCAAUUAUUUUUACUUAAAAUAGACUCAUUAAGGAAUUUAAACAUAUAAUUUAUAACUCAUAAUUCAUUUUGUACAAUUUUUAAUGAAUUUCUAAAGUCAAAAUAGGGGACUUCAAAAUCAUUCUGACUCUGUCUCACUAAAAUUCAAAUAUCUAAAAGUAUAUAACUCUUUUGCUUACUCUAUUGCUUUAAUGUGAAAGUAGGCUCAUUCAGCUUUAAUUUCAUCUCUCACUCAACUUAUAAUUCUAAGUCCACAUUUUUGGUGAUUUUUCAAAGUUACAUCAAUACUGCUGUCCAAAAACUGUUCCAUUGAAAUUUUUUUAAAAAAUUUCAAUAUAACCCUUUUAUAAUUAUCUAACCUUCCCUGCAAAUUUUAAAUCACAACCAAUUUCAGUAUUUCAACCACUUCACUUAAAUACUAAUGAAGUUCAACCAAUCAACCAUUUCAAACUAAAAACAUGCAUAGUUCAAUGUCUAACACAACCAUCACAUUCAAAUUUACUUUGCAUAUUUAGAUAUUCAUUCUUUUACUUUUUACUUCAAUUCCCUAUACAUGUCAUAUAAAUCCAAAAAGUUGUUUAACAAAAUCUACCGGAGUAAAUCUUGAUAGUGUGAUUCUUGGUGUAGAUCCGAUCCUCUGAAUGUAUAAAUACGUCAAUCUACAAGAAUCAAUAAACGCACAAGUAGGCUUAAUAAACACACAAGUAAGCUUAUAGAAAGCUUAGUAAGUUCAUAGGCACCAAACAUAAAACUUACCAAACAUUUAUACACUUAUACAUUAUACACCAUUACUAAGUUUACCUGUCAACCACAUUCUUUGGUGAGUUCCUUGGUAUAAACUCACUAAUACUUAUUCUUUUACCAUAAUUCCUUUGGGCCCAUUUGUCACUUACCAUCCUUGAUCAAAAUUAAGGAACGGUUACGGAAAAUUGAGUACUUCACUUUCACUUUGCCAUAGUAUAAAUAUGGUCUUACGUAUGAUCACUUAUCACUUGUCCUUGAUCAGGUUAGUGUAGCUAGGCUACCACUUAUCACUUGUUCCUGAUCAGAUAAGUGUAGCUAAGCUAUCACUUGUCACUUUGUCACUUGAUCAAAAGUACUCAAAUCCGGUGUUCCGCUCAAUUUGAUCACUUAUUCAGUUUGCGCAUUUUUAUUUUAUUCUCAUUUCAUCAAUAAAUAUAUAUAUAUAUUUCACCAUACAUUAUAUAAUUCAUGAAAUUAACAUUUAAUCAUUAAAUUUCAUCCAUAUGAACUUACCUAGGUCGAUUUUCUGAAUUUGUAAAAGUUCAAGGACUAAUCAGCUACUUUUUCUUUUCCUCGACUUGUUUCGGGUUCUCGAUAUGAUUCAAAUAUAUGAAAAACUAGCUUGGAGGGACUCUUCAAUGGCGUUUUUUGCUGAGAAAUAUGAUGAAUUGCCUAGAAACUCUUUUAGUUAAGAUUUUUAUUUGUUAACUUUUACAAAAUUUCUAAUUUUGCCCUUAUUACAUCACUUUUUCAGAUUUUUCUUCUCUUAUGCCGUCUCAACUAUUCCAUAUUAGCAUAUUUAUGCCUUAAGUCCCUCCUUAUUUACCACUUAAGCUGUUUAAUCACUUUUAACAAAUUUUACAUUAUUUUCAGUUUAGUCAUUUUUAAUUAAUUAACCACCAAAACGUUAGAAUUUUCUAACGAAACUUUAAUACCAACUCAAUGACACUCUAUAAAUGUUUCUAAAAAUAUUUAUGGCUCGAUUGAUGAGUUUGAGGUUUCGAUACCUCAUUUUCGACUCUAAUUAUUUUAAUAUUUAUUCUUAGUACACUAUUCACUAUUUCAAAAAUUUUCCUAACUUCGCAUUUAACUUAUACUCACUAAAUUAAUAAUAUUUUCUACUCAUUUGUCAAAUUUAAUGAUCUCGAAUUACCAUUCCGACACCACUGAAAAUUCAGGCCAUUACAACUCUCCCCCCAUUUUGGAAAUUUCGUCCCCGAAAUUUCGUACCUGAAAAUAAAUUCGAAUACUGAAAUCUCAUCAAUUCCUCUGUUUCCCAGGUUGCCUCCUCAGAUCCAUGUCGAUUCCAUAACACCUUAACUAGUGGUACAUGUUUAUUCCUCAACUCUUUAACAUCCCAAGCUAAAAUUUUCACCGGUUCCUCUGAAUAAGUCAUGUCAGGUUGAAGCUCUAUUUCCGUAUGAGGAAUUACAUGUGAUGGAUCUGAUUUGUACCGUCUCAACAUAGACACAUGAAACACAUUAUGAAUCUUUGCAAGUUCCGGGGGCAAAGCUAAUCUAUAGGUUACCAGACCGAUUCUUUCAAUGAUUUCAUACGGCCCGAUAAAUCGUGGGCUGAGUUUUCCCUUUUUGCUGAACCGCAAAACUUUCUUCCACGGUGACAGUUUCAAAAAUACACGAUCACCCACAUUAAACUCUCUAUCCCUUCUCUUCAAAUCUGCAUAUGAUUUUUGCUGAUCGGAGGCAGCUUUUAAGCAAUCUCGAAUAAUACGAACUUUUUCUUCAGUUUCCUGAGUCAAUUCCACUUCCACCAGUUUCAAUUCACUUAAUUUAGACCAAUAUAAUGAAGUUCUACACUUUCUUCCAUACAAAGCUUCAAACGGUGCCAUUUUAAUGCUAGUUUGAUAACUAUUAUUAUAAGCAAAUUCGGCUAAAGGUAAAUACCUUUCCCAGCUACCGCCGAACUCAAGUAUACAACACCUUAACAUAUCUUCUAAAAUCUGAAUCACUCGCUCUGACUGCCCAUCUGUCUGGGGAUGAAAAGCUGUGUUGAAAUUUAAUUUGGUGCCUAAAGCUUCCUGUAAUUUACUCUAAAAUCUCGAGGUAAAUCUCGGAUCUCGAUCUGAAAUAAUAGAUGUCGGUACCCCAUGUAACCUCACUAUCUCAGACACAUAUAACUCCGCUAACUUUUCAAGCUGAUAAUCUGCUCUGACUGGAAUAAAAUGUGCUGAUUUAGUUAACCGAUCAACAAUCACCCAUAUCGAAUCUUUCUUCUUCGAAGUUACUGGUAAUCCGGAUACAAAAUCCAUCGCAACAUGUUCCUAUUUCCACUCUGGAAUCAUAAUGGGCUGUAACAACCCUGUCGGCACUUGAUGCUCAGCUUUCACCUGUUGGCAGAUCAAACAUCUUGCUACAUACUCACAGAUUUCCCAUUUAAUUCCGGGCCACCAAUACAUUUUCUUCAAAUCACAAUACAUUUUUGUACUAACCCGGUGAAUAGAACACAUACUACUGUGAGCCUCUGAUAAAAUAUCAUUUUUCAAGUUUAAAUUAUUCGGAAUACAUAUUCUAUUACGAUAAUAUAACAUACCAUUUUCAUCAAUGGAGUAUUCUGAGCUUAACUUAUCUUGAACCAUCUGUCGUUUUAUCAUCAAUUUUGGGUCAUCAUCCUGUAACUCUUGAAUCCAUUGAAAGAACACGGGUUUAGCCUUUAAUUCUGCUAGUACAGAACCAUCCUCAUUAAUAGAUAAAUGAGCAUUCAAUGCCCGUAGUGCAAAUAAUGAUGAUUUCUGACUAAGUGCAUCUGCUGCGGCAUUUGCUUUCCCUGGGUGAUAGUCAAUGACAAGAUAAUAAUCUUUCUGCAACUCUAACCAUCGUCUCUAUCUCAAAUUUAACUCUUUCUGAGUCAUUAAAUACUUUAAGCUUUUAUGAUCAGUAUACACGUAACAUUUCUCACCAUAUAAGUAGUGUCUCCUUAUCUUCAAAGCAAACACGAUCGCUGCCAAUUCAAAAUCAUGUGUAGGAUAAUUCUUGUCGUGCGGUUUCAGUUGCCGAGAAGCAUAUGCCACCACUUUGCCUGACUGAAUAAGUACACAGCCCAACCCAUUUACAGAUGCAUCACUAUAUACUACAAAUGGUACACCCGAUUCUGGUUGAGUCAACAUUGGAGCCUCUGUCAACAUCUUUUUCAACUGAUCAAAACUCCGCUGACAUUUAUCUGACCAUAUAAAUUCAACAUUCUUUUGUAGAAAUCGAGUCAACUGUAAGGUAAUCAUUGAGAAAUCUUUGAUAAAUCGACAAUAAUAACAUGCCAAUCGUAGAAAACUCCACACUUCAAUAACAUUCUUCGGAACUUUCCAAUUUACCAUUGCCGCUACCUUACUUGGAUCGACUCUUAUUCCAUCAGCUGAUACAAUAUGACCCAAAAAUGCAACUUCAUGGAGCCAAAAUUCUCAUUUGCUAAAUUUGGCAUACAAUUGUUUCUCUCACAAAGUCUGUAAUACAAUCCUUAGAUGUUGUGCAUGUUCGGACUCUGUCUUUGAAUAAAUCAAUAUAUCGUCAAUGAACAACCACAAAUCUAUCCAAUUAUGACUGAAAAAUUCUAUUCAUCAAAUCCAUAAAAGCAGCAAGGGCAUUGGUUAAACCAAAUGGCAUCACCAAAAAUUCAUAAUGACCAUAUCGAGUUUGGAAGGCAGUUUUCGGCACAUCACACUCUUUAACUUUCAACUGAUAAUACCCAGAUUGAAGAUCUAUCUUGGAAAAUAUUGCAGCACCUUUCAACUGAUCAAAUAAAUCAUCAAUAUGAGGCAAAGGAUAUUUAUUCUUUACUGUUACCUUAUUCAACUGCCUGUAAUCUAUACACAGUCUUAGAGAACCGUCCUUUUUUUUCACAAACAAGACAGGUGCACCCCAGGGCGACAUACUCAGUCUGAUGAACCAUUUCUCUAAUAACUCCUGUAACUGCGCCUUCAACUCUUUUAACUCGGCUGGAGCCAUUCUGUACGGUGUCAUUGAGAUAGGAGUUGUUCCGGCGAUCACAUCAAUUACAAAUUCAACUUCUUUAUCAGGUGGUAGACCGGGUAACUCUUCAGGGAACACAUUAGGGAAUUCAUUCACUACUGGCACUUGUUUGAGCUUCAAACCAGAACCCUGAGUAUCCAUGAUAUAGGCCAAGAAUGCUUCGUUGCCUUUGCGUAAUAACCUCUGAGCAGGGAGAGCUGAAAUAAUUCUGACUGUAUCACCCAUAUUUUCAGACCCAACUGAGAUUAUAUCUCCCGUUUGACAUUUCAAAUUGAUCUGUUUAUCACGACAAUUCACUACCGCAUCAUGUCUCACUAACCAGACCAUCCCAAGAAUAAUGUCAAAUUCUCGAAAAGGUAACAACAUCAAAUCAGCGGGGAAUUCAUAGCCUUUCACUUUUAAUGGACAAUUACGACAUAUCAAAUUAACCAUCACACUUUGACCUAAUGGGUUUGUGACUUGUAUAUCAAAUUCAAUGGACUUAACAAAUAAUUUCUUUUCAGAUGCUAACAUAGUGCAAAUAUAUGAAUGAGUAGAUCUAGGGUCUAUCAAUGCAUAAACAAUAACAUCAUAAAGAUAGAAAGUACCAACAAUUACAUCAGGAGCCGUAGCCUCUUCCCUUGCUCGAAUGGCGUAGGUACGUGCUGGUGCUCUAUUCUUUGAUCGACCAACUGAUUCCCUCGUACCCGAACGGGUAGUCCCUGUAGCACUGCUCUGGCCCGAAUGUCUACUUCUUUGGGGAAUGGUUCUCUGUAUCUCUUUCUGUUCCACUUCAUCUUUUUACAGUCGGGGACAAUCUCGAAUAAGAUGAUUAGUAGCCCUACAUUUUUAACAAGCCCCCAUCUUGGUCCUGCAUUCUCCGAAAUGAUAUCUUCCACAAUAUUGACACUUAGGCCGGGGAGCAUUCUGAACACCGCUCACACUUGCUGCAGGUCUAUCGAAUACCCUGAAAUCAGAUUGUCUUGGUCUAUCUCUACCCGAUCUUCCCAACAUUAAUGUAGUUCGACUAAUUUCUUCUCUAGAUUUCUUCACUGGCAAAUCUAAAAAUGACUUAGAAGCACCUCUUUUGAAUGGCUCUUUACUUUUUCGAUCCCGCUGCAUUUUUCUGUUGUAUACUUCUUCGAGCUUUUGAGCACGGUCUGACAGAACAACGAACUCUCGUAUUUCAUUACCCCCAAUCAUCAUUCUAAUUUCAUCAUUUAACCCUUCUUCAAACCUGAUACACAUUUCUUCUUUAGUAGGUACAAUGUCUCGGGCAUAUUUGCUGAGGUAAACAAAUUCUCUUUCGUAUUCAGCCACUGAUUUAUUUCCCUGGCGUAGGUCGAGAAAUUCCCUUUUAUUUUUAUCCAAAUACCGUCUGCCCACAUAUUUCUUCUUAAAUUCAUUUUGGAAAAAUUCCCAAUAAAUUUUCUCUGCUGGAACCACAGCCUCAAUCGUCUCCCACCAACUAUAAGCUUCUUCUUUCAAUAGGGACACAGCACAUCUCAAAUAAUCAUCUGGUGAGCAAACCAUUUCUUUAAAAAUUCUUAUCAAACUUUGUAACCAAUAUUCAGCUUUGACGGGAUCUUCAUUAGUCCUUCCUGAAAUUCUUCGGCUCCAAGUUUUUUAAGCUUUUCCAAUAGAGAACGCUUACUAGAUUCAGUCGUUGUAGGAGGUGGAGGAGUAACCGGGGGUACCAUCGAUGGAGCAGUAGGGGGAGGAGGUGGUUCAGCAUGAUUUCUUUCUUGCCUCAUUUCAAUAUACCACUGAUUCAUAAUCUCAUAAAUCAUAUUCUUUAAUUCUUGCUCUCGCAUUUGGGAGAUCGGAACAUCACUGCUUGUUCUUUGUUCAGAAUUAUGUAUUCUACUAUUAACUUAUUCUUACUUAGUUCGUUCAGGUAUAUCUGACAUCUUUAUAACUGGAGAAUAUCUAUAAAAAUAACAAAGAUUAGAUCGGAUCAUACGCAUCACACUAUCACAGAUUUAUAUGGCAUGUAUUUCUAAACACUUUACACUUCACACAUAUUCCGAGAACCGGCUAAACCGGGAUCUGAUACCAAUAAAAUAUAACACCCUUUACCCAAGACCGUUGCCCGAGUCGAGCAUGAGGCGUUACUUGACUUAACUUAAAAGUUCAGGGCAUAAAAAUUUACUUUCAAAAUUAAUUUCACCAUUCACAAUAAAGCUGUCCACCUGCGCAGGAGUCACUAAAUCAAUUAUAACUCAAGCUACGAAACUCAAAAUUUAGAUCCGUAAAUUUUCCCUAAAACUAGACUCAUAUAAAUAUUCACCAUAAAUUUUUAAGAAUUUUUAGUUUAUCCAAUUAGUAUAGUUUAUUAGUUUAAGUCUCCCUUGUUUCACUAAUAGACUACCCUGACCUCUCGUCACUAAAAUUCAAUUAUCUCCUUAUACAGACUUGACAUGGUGCUUCCAAUUAUUUUUACUUAAAAUAUACUCAUUAAGGAAUUUAAAAAUAUAAUUUAUAACUCAUAAUUACUUUUUUACAAUUUUUAUUGAAUUUCUAAAUUCAGAACAGGGGACUUCAAAAUCAUUCUGACCCUGUCUCACUAAAAUUCAAAUAUCUAAAAGUAUAUAACUCUUUUGCUUACUCUAUUGCUUUCAUGUGAAAGUAUACUCAUUCAGAUUUAAUUUCAUAUCUCACUUAACUUAUAAUUCUAUUUCCACUAUUUUUGGUGAUUUUUCACAGUUACAUCAAUGCUGCUGUCCAAAAACUGUUCCAUUGAAAUUUUUAAAAAAAAUUCAAUAUAACCCCUUUAUAAUUAUCUAACCUUCCCUGCAAAUUUCAAAUCACAACCAAUUUCAGUAUUUCACCUACUUCACUUAAAUACUAAUGAAGUUCAACCAAUCAACCAUUUCAAACUAAAAACAUGUAUAGUUCAAUGUCUAACACAACCAUCAUAUUCAAAUUUACUUUGCAUACUUAGUCAUUCAUUCUAUUACUUUUUACUUCAAUUCCCUAUACAUGCCAUAUAAAUCCAAAAAGUUGUUUAACAAAAUCUACCAGAGUAAAUCUAGAUAGUGUGAUUCUUGGUGUAGAUCCGAUCCUCCGAAUGUAUAAAUACGUCAAUCUACAAGAAUCAAUAAACACAUAAUUAAGCUUAUAGAAAGCUUAGUAAGUUCAUAGGCACCAAACAUAAAUCUUACCAAACAUUUAUACACUUAUACAUUAUACACCAUUACUAAGUUUACCUGUCAACCACAAUCUUUGGUGAGUUCCUUGUUAUAAACUCACUACUACUUAUUCUUUUACCAUAAUUCCUUUGGGCCCAUUUGUCACUUACCAUCCUUGAUCAAAAUUAAGGAACGGUUACGGAAAAUUGAGUACUUCACUUUCACUUUGCCAUAGUAUAACUAUGGUCUUACAUAUGAUCACUUAUCACUUGUCCUUGAUAAGAUAAGUGUAGCUAGGCUACCACUUAUCACUUUGUCACUUGAUCAGAUAAUUGUAGCUAAAGCUACCACUUAUCACUUUAUCACCACUUAUCACUUGUUCCUGAUCAGAUAAGUGUAGCUAAAACUACCACUUAUCACUUUGUCACCACUUAUCACUUGUUCCUGAUCAGAUAAGUGUAGCUAAAGCUACCACUUAUCACUUUGUCACUUGAUCAGAUAAGUGUAGCUAAGCUAUCACUUAUCACUUUGUCACUUGAUCAGAAGUACUCAAAUUCGGUGUUCCGCUCAAUUUGAUCAUUUAUUCAGUUUUCACAUUUUUAUUUUAUUCUCAUUUCAUCAAUAAAUAUAUAUAUUUCAGCAUACAUUAUAUAAUUCAUGAAAUUAACAUUUAAUCAUUAAAUUUCAGCCAUAUGAACUUACCUGGGUCGAUUUAUUGAAUUUGUAAAAGUUCAGGGACUAAUCAGCUACUUUUUCUUUUCCUCGACUUGUUUCGGGUUCUCAAUAUGAUUCAAAUAUAUGAAAAACCAGCUUGGAUGGACUCUUCAAUGGCGUUUUUUGCUGAGAAAUAUGAUGAAUUGCCUAGAAACUCUUUUAGUUAAGAUUUUUAUUUGUUAACUUUUACAAAAUUUCCAAUUUUGCCCUUAUUACAUCACUUUUUCAGAUUUUUCUUCUCUUAUGCCGUCUCAACUAUUCCAUAUUAGCAUAUUUAUGCCUUAAGUCCCUCCUUAUUUGCCACUUAAGCUGUUUAAUCACUUUUAACAAAUUUUACAUUAUUUUCAGUUUAGUCCUUUUUAAUUAAUUAACCACCCAAACGUUAGAAUUUUCUAACGAAACUUUAAUAUCAAUUCAAUGACACUCUAUAAAUGUUUCUAAAAAUAUUUAUGGCUCGAUUGAUGAGUUUGAGGUUUCGAUACCUCAUUUUUUAUUCUAAUUAUUUUAAUAUUUAUUCUUAGUAUACUAUUCACUAUUUUAAAAAUUUUCCUAACUUCGCAUUUAACUUAUACUCACUAAAUUAAUAAUAUUUUCUACUCAUUUGUCAGAUUUAGUGAUCUAGAAUUACCAUUCCGACACCACCGAAAAUUCAGGCCAUUACAUUAUGUUUAUUGACUCAUUUUUUCUGUUGACUGAAUUUCAGGUAACUCAUCGACUUAGGCGGGUCGGCAUGGCGAGAGCUCGGUCAUCCUUAUUUAGUAAUUUUCUGUUUAAAUUAAACUUAUGCUAUAGUUGUUUUAUCUUGAAUUACAGAUUGCAAAUUUAUAUUUCUACACUAGUUCAACUAUUUAAACAUUUUCUGACAAUUAAACUUUAAUUAGUUAAAAGUGAGAAUUUCUUAAAUGAUUUGUUGUAGCUUUCCAAGCUUGGUCCUAACAUCUAGGUCGGGUUUGGGGUGUUACAACCCAAAACCCCCAAACUUUCCCCUCAAAACUUUUACUCCCCCACCCUUUCUCUUUCUCGCUCACCCUCCCAAACCCUUUUACUUUUCCCCCAAAACUUUUACUUCCCACUUUUACCCCCAAAUCAAAAAUCAAAAUCCUCCCAAAAAAAUCCUUAAACCUAAAUAGUAAUAAUUUUAUUUAUGGCCACUAUUUAUAUUAUAAAUUAAAUUUCACAUUUUCUAUUAUUUAUAUUAUUAAAUUGUUUAAUCAUUUUGAAUCUUUAUCAAUUUCUGUUAAAACUGUAUCAUUGAUGAUGUCAUACAUUAUUUGUGUUAAAAAUUUCUAUUGGUAUCAAUUUCACAUUUUAUCUUUAAAAUAAAUUUUAUUAAAAAAAUUACUUUUUUACAUUUAAUAUAUUUUUUAAUUUCAAAAUAUAUGGUGACAAGAAUUAGAAGAUAAUUGAAGCAACUAAGCAAGUAAAAAAGCUAACAUGUAUAUAAAAGAUUAAAUAAAUUAUGAAGGGAUGAAAGUUAAUAACACAUUUGAUUACGGUGGACAAAUUUGAUAAUGAUGGGUGACAGUGGCUACAAGGAUCCAAAGUAAUUUUUUCAAUUAACUGGAAACAAAUAUAUUCGAUUCGAUUCGAUAAAAUUUGAAAUCAUUUUAGGAUGAUAAAAUAAGAUUCGUCAACUCGAUUAACUCGAAGUUUUUUCAUUUGAUUCGAUUAGACGCUCACCCCUACAAAGUAUGACCGAUUGGUCUGAUUCUGAAAAAAAUUGGUUUUGAUCAAUGAAAGAACUUUUACGAUGGCGACAGGUCUAACAAACAGGUGAUAUUUUGAAAAGAAAAUUAAUCUCCAUAGUCUCAACCUUAGGAGGGUGAAUUUUGAGCAUUGCAUUUGUUGUCAUUGUUAGACAUUAUAAAGGAAGAAAAAAGAAAGAAAAAAGUUAAAAUGAGGGAAAUUAUUGAAAAAAAGAGAGAAGAGAAUAAUUAAUUUUUUUUAAAAUUUUACAUGUCAAUCUAUUAUUGAUUAGAUUUUUUUAAUGAGUGUAACAUUUUGGUGUUAAAUGGAUAAUAAAAAAAUAUUUUAAGUAUCAUUUAUGAUAAAAAUAUUUAGGUAUCAAUUUGAAAAAAAUAUGUAGCUUAGAUACUAAUUGAUGGGUUAAUUUUUUUAGCUUAAUAAUUUGAUUAAACCGAAAUACCAACUGAAAAAAAGUUUACUCGCCGCUUAUGAAAAAAAAUAAGUAUGAAUUUGUAAGUUAAAUCUCCCUAAAAGAAAAAAUAUAUCACAUUCAAUACGGGGUGAAUGAAGCAAUGAAUGCAAUGGGGUAUUACAACCAGCCACAUGUCAUUCAAUUCAUGUUAUAUCUACCUUGUUGGCCCCACAGGCGGUCUUUUCCAUUAUUUUCGAAGUGAACGACAUGAGUCGGACCUAUAUCGGCCCCAACAAACAACCUCAACCACUUGUUUUGUUAGGUUGUUGACUAAUUUGAAUAUGUCGGCUCAAAGCUUUUUGAAAAUUAAAUUAUUUUUUAUAUUAAUAUCAUAUAGGUAUAAAAAUUUAACGUUUUGUAAAAAAAAUAAAUUUAGUGUUAAAUUUAAAUAAUUAUAAAAAAUUAUACAAAAUACAAAGACAACUUAGAGUCAAUAAAAAAAAUAUGGAAAAUCAAUUCAUACAUGAAAUGGCAUAAAAAUAUUAUGAACACUAUACAAAUAUAUGAAUGUUUUUAUAUCUAUAUAAAAUAAGUUAUUAACGCUUAAAUUUCAACCAAUUAAAUAUUAAUUUAACUAUAAACUAUAAAAAAUUAAAAUUUCAUUUACCCUAAACAAUUAUUCUAAUUUCGCCCCUGUAUAAAAUAGUUGUAAUAUUAAAAAAAAAGUUAUACGAAUAUGGAGUGUUAAAAAAAAAGGCUUUCAACUUUUAAUAUUCCAAACAAAUAAAAGAAAUAAUAAUAACAGUUUACAAGUGCAAUAAAAGUAAUACAUAUUUGAUGAAUUAAAAAUAGAAUAAAUAUAACUAACUAUAACAGAAAUAUAUUUAGAUUUAAACCAAAUUUUUUUGAAGAUGAAAUUUGAACUCACAAAUAAUAUUUAUAAAUGAUGAUAUGUUUUAGAACAUGUAUAUUUUAAUUUCAUUUGAUAUUUAAAUUAAAUGAAUGAAAUGAGUAUAUUAGCAUAAAUAUAUUGAAUUUCUAGAUUUAUUAAAAAUCCAACUAAAUAGAGUAGAUCCAUAAAUUUAAAAAAUGAUUAUGGAUUUUGAAAUAUAAAUCUAAAAUUUAAAAUCUGAAACCCUCCUAAAUGUUUUCCAAAGUAAGGCGGGGAUAAAUGGUAUAGGGAAGACGGUGGGUAGAUAGAUGUACGGUUUAUUUAUAACUUCGUUUUUAUUAGUCGGCUUACAGUUUCAUAAAAAGCAUCCGUGCAAGGCAUGUUCAAAUGCUGCACUAGCAUACCACUACUAUAAAAAAAACACAUACAAGAGCACCACAAAUUUAUCCCAAAAUACAUUAAAUAAAUGACUCCUAAGGGUGCCAGAUUUAACUAGUGUGUCUGGGAUUGUAUUAGCCUCUCUGAGGCCAUGUGAAAAAAUUUAAUGUUAUUGUUAUAUUUCCAUCUCGAUACGUUGCAAGACAUGAAGCAAUCUGUAAACAACUCUCUUUUGGAAGCAGUUUGCAUACGACUCUUCGCUAAGAACCAUUUGUUGUGAUCUUUCGCUUAGGAUUGCUCACAAAUGACCCCCAUGCACCCUAUCUCUCUCCCUCCUUAACUCAUCAUCUUGAACUCUCAUCCUAUUAUAGGUGAAUCGAGACUCUUCUCCUCCACCCUUUCCUCGUUGGUUACUUGUAGCAAAAAAAAUUAAUUUCACCGAAAAUGUUGGAGAGAUCCCAUGGUCUAAGUGUGUUGUUAGAGCAAAGCUCGAUGGCAAAUUUGGAGUCAAAUUUUAGAAUCAACCCUUUAAAAUCCAUUACACCGUAAAGGAAAAUUUUUACAAUUACAUUAACAAUAAAUAUUCAAAAUUUACUCAUCUAUCUAUACUUAUAUUAAGCCUUAUUUGAGUUGGAGUCAAGAGUCAACUAGGUACUAACUCAGUUGAGAAUUUACUAAAUAAUUUUAAUAUAAAGUAAAAAAAAUAUUAAUACGAGGGUGUUUUUAUCUUUUCAUAUUUUUAAAUAAAAAUACUAUAAUAAGAUUUAAACUUAAGUUUAAAAUUUCAAUCAAAACAUCACUUAAAUUUAAAAUAACAUUUUUAUAUAAAAUGUGUUUAGAUUCUAAGAUAAUGAAAUUUAUGAUGAGGUAUUCAAAAUGUGUUUGAAUAUGCUAAUGAGAUAUUCAAAUUGGUAUGCACAUUCCUAAUCAGGGAGCAUUAAUGAUAAUUUAGUAAAAUAAAUUAUCUCAUUAGCAUAUAGUUUAUUAUAAAAUUAUUGUGUAAAAUAAACAAUUCACAAACUUAAGAAUUUAUAACACAAAAAUUAUACAUCAAUGUUGUUAGAAUUGUAUUAUAUCCAUCGGUUGAAUUUAAAUUUAAAAAUUUAAUCAGCGAUAAUAAUUAAAAUCGUUUCAAACUAGUAAAAUAUUGAAAAUUAAGAACUAAUAAAAUAGAUUCUAAUUAUUUUUAUUUAAAAAAUGUUACCUUCUUAUUCAGGUUACAUUAAGACAAACCCAUCUUAAUUAUAAGUAUCAUAUUGUGAAUGGUAAACUUCUUACACAACAUCCACCAUUUGUCCAAAUAUGUUAAAUUAGGUGCAACAUAGAAAUUUUAUUGUAAGGAGUGAAUCUCAUUGUUUUUAUUUUCAUCAAACAUACGUCUAACUUUAUUAUUACGGGAUUAGAACUUAAAUUUGAUAAAUUGUGUGGUUUUAGGUGAUUUCUUUUCGUUAAAUUUAUCUAAAUCAACCUAACACUCGAAAAGUGAGAAUUCUCCUAAAAAUUCUUUAUGUUAGCAAAAAAUAUAGUGGAAGUAACUUGAAACGAAAGAGCAAUGAGAGAAUUGAAAAGACACAAGAAAAUAAUGCAUACAAGGUGUUUGAGUAAAUGCUCUCAAUAAAUUCUUUAACUCAAGAAGGAAUGAAGUACAACCAGUAUCUAGCCCCCCUAAAAUAGAAAAUUUUCCAUUUAUAUACCUUUAUAAUUUAUAAAAUUUAAAAUUUUACUUUCCCAUAAAAUGAUAAAAAAUUGAUUUAUUUCUUUAAAAAUUAUAAAGAUGACUAUUAAAAUAGUAAAAUUGUAUUUUUAUUAUUGUAAAAAUAUACAAUUUAAUUCUGUCUCCCAAAUUUUUUUUUUUUGGUUUCAUCCCUAAGUACAAUGAUCGUUGUAGCAGGAUACAUAGGCAUUCUAGCACAGAAUGCAAAUAUGUUGCCAAUUAACUUCGAGUCAUGGCAUAAAGUGCCCGAGAGUAACAAGAACCAAGCUCUCGAUAACAUUAAGGUAACAAAAUGUGUAUAUCAUUUAUAAUACUUGAGUUUAAGUUUCGUUUACAUUUACUUUCUGAAGUUGUGUUUUUUGUAGGGGAGAUUUGCUCUAGAGGUCUCCGAUGCUUAUGUAAAGAAGGCAUUGGGAAAAAGAUGGAGAGACCAUAAGAGCACUUUAAAGAAAGACUAUUUUAAGACAAAAACAACACUCGACGAGAGAUUACAAAAUGUCACGCCGGGAAUGCUGAGGUACCAGUGGGAAGAAGUCGUUAGAUUUUGGACUUCGAAGAAAGGAGAGGUAUGUGUUACUACAAAAAUCUUGUAAUUAUUUUGGUUUAUAGUAUUUACUAAUUAACGUACUAAUAAUUUCAUAACGUAGGAUCGUGAACGAGUUGGAACAAGUAGUAGGCAGAAACAAAAAUUCACGCACACAGCUGGGUCGAGAAGUUUUGCGUGUGUAGCUCAGGCCGAGGUAUUUUGAAUUUUUUAAUACUGGCAGAUAUUUAUUACUUUCUAUCAAAUAAUAUUUUUACUAUUGUAUUGUAGGAAGUGUUGUCGGGUCAAAAAGUUGGACGCCUUCAACUUUUUGACAUUACACAUAGGAAGAAAGAUGGAAACCCUAUGACUCCUGAAGCUGCAGAAAUUAUGGUACGUUUGCUUAAUACAAUUUGACUUGUUUUAAUUAUUUAUGCUGUUUAUUUUCUAAUGUUUUUUAUUACAUUUCUUGUAAUGCAAAUAUUGUUAAGUUAUGUUGCAUUUGUUUUGUUAAUAUAUGUUGCGUUCUUAACUAUGUGAUUUAUUUUUUAGGAAAAACUGAAGGAUAAAAAGGCGGAGUACGAAGCGAUUGCUUCCAGUGAUAGUUCUGUUCAUAUUGACGACAUUGAUAACCGGAUUAUCACUGAAGUUUUGGGUCCUGAAAGGUAUGGUCGGGUUCGAUUUCAAGGAUCUUUUGUUAACCCAUCCCAAUAUUUUGGAUCCAGCUCGCAACAAUACAUGCAUUCGGGGAGUCAGGCUCAAGCUGAAGUUCAGAGGUUAAGAGACCAGAUAGCUCAGAUGCAAGCGGCAACGAGUGAGCAAAUUACACAACUUAAAGCGGAGGCAACAUCGAGAGAAGCUGAGGUUCAAAAAAGAUAUGAAGAACUCCAGCUACAACUUAAAGCAGAUGCGGCAGCGAGAGAAGCAGAGGUAGCAGCGAGAGAAGCUGAGGUUCAACGAAAGUAUGAGCAACUGCAGCAGCAGCUUAAAGAAGAUGCGGCAACGAGAGAAGCAGCGGCUGCAGCGAGGGAAGUAGAGGCUGCAGUGAGGGAAUCAGAACAGCAUAAAAAGUUCGAUGAACUCCAGCAGCAGCUUCAGAAUAUGAUGAAGAUGUUUCAGCAGUCGCAACCGCCGUCAUCUUAGACUAUCGUUUAAAUAUACUUCAAUUUUGACUUUGGUAUUAUUAUUUUAACUUUUACAAUUUCUGUCAGAAUAAUACGAAUUUUAUUUUAUUUAUUGACAUUUAUUUUAAAUAUUAUAUAGAUUUGGUUAGAUUUGGUUGGUUGGAUUUGGUUUCUUCUGAUUUGUUUUUAUAGGAGGGGGCUGAAAUUUUUUUUUUCAAAUCUGCAAAAAUUAGCGGCGUUUUUUUGGAUAAGCGCCGCUAAAGACCAUCGUCUAUAGUGGAAUUUUUUGGCUAAGCGCCGCUAAAGACCAUGGUCUAUAGUGGCAUUUUUCGGCUAAGCACCGCUAAAGACCAUGGUCUAUAGUGGCGUUUUUUGUCUAAGCGCCGCUAAAGACCAUGGUGUAUAGUGGCAUUUUAUGGCUAAGCGCCGCUAAAGACCAUGGUGUAUAGUGGCGUUUUUUGGCUAAGCGCCGCUAAAGACCAUGGUCUAUAGUGGCGUUUUUUGUCUAAGCCCCGCUGAAAACCAUGGUCUAUAGUGGCGUUUUUUGGCUAAGCGUCGCUAAAGACCAUGGUCUAUAGUGGCGUUUUGUGGCUAAGCGCCGCUAAAGACCAUGAUCUAUAGUGGCAUUUUUCGGCUAAGCGCCGCUAAAGACCAUGGUCUAUAGUGGUGUUUUUUAGGCUAAGCGCCGCUAAAGACCAUGGUCUAUAGCGGCGUUGCAAAGAAAACGCCGCUAAAGACCAUGGUCUAUAGUGGCGUUUUUUAGGCUAAGCGCCGCUAAAGACCAUGGUCUAUAGCGGCGUUGCAAAGAAAAUGCUGCGAAAGGUCUUGAUCUUUAGCGGUGUUUAUUAUAAAAAGCGCCGCUAAAGUUACCGACGCUGUCAUUAGCGGCGAUCCUUGCGGCGCUUCGUAAAGCGCCGCUAAAAGUAUUUGCGGCGCUAAAAAAUGCCGCUAUAGACCUAAAAAAGCGCCGCUAAAACCCUGUUUUGGUGUAGUGUGAGAUGAUUACAAAUGAAGGGGGAGAUCUCUAUUUAUAGUUGAGCUCCCCUAGAUCCAAUAGUAUAGAUUGAAUUACAUCAACGAUUGAGAUUAGUACUUAUCUACAAGAUGAGUCUUAAGGAUUUUAAACUCUAUACAUCUUUAUCCCUUAGGAUUUACAUUAAUUACUCUGGUAACUCUAGUUUUACUGGAGAGUUUCACUGAACCACCAAAGGUUUAAGUAGAUGAGCUUCUCCAUAUGUUCCACGAGUUGGACAAGUUCAAGCGGAUCAAAUGAGCCCAAUUUAAUUAGUUAAUCUCAAUAAAACGUUCUAUGCACAAUGAUCAUGAACUUUGAUCCACAUCUCAAAAUGAUCAGAUGAAUAAUCUCUCUUAAUUAUAUUUUUAUAAAACUUGAUAUUUUCAUUUAAAAAGAAACACAAUCACAUAUAAUAAUGUCUCCAAAAGAGUCGUCCACUUCAAAGAUUUAAAGUAAUGUAAGAAUGAACCCAACAUUUUUCAAUUAAAAAUAUGUCGAUAGAUAUAGCAAGUUGUAUAACCUUUCAAUUACAAAACAGAUUUCAAUGGGGAUUGCAUCCGGUACAUGCAACUAAAGAACAGAACCGGUGCAUAAAUUGAUUUAAUUAAACUUUGGGUUGAGUAAUCAUGAUUUUCAUUAUUAUUAGACUACGUGAAUGUUGAUAUAAAAUGCUUGAGAGAAGGGUAUAGAAGAAACACAAAAUAAUGAGUGAUAUUAAUUUGUAGAUAAAGAUAAUAUUACAUAGUCGCAAAAAGCGACCUAGUACACAACGCACAACUCUAAAUUAGGAUAACUCCUCUGCUAUCCCUAUGGAUGGAUUUUAACAUCCAUAUUUAUUCUGUAGCUAUCGUUAUUUUGGCUUCCACUAGCUGGUGAACUUUCCAUGCCAAAACUUCACUUAACCCUGCAAAUGAAACAACAAAAAACACAACAUUAAAUGUUGAGCAAUUAAUAAGCAUAAGCAAUGAAACAACUCAUACGAACCUGCUGCAGUCAGUGCUAGGGCUGAUCUUGUAAGGGAUGUUGACACCGCACUUGCCUGGGAGUCCGCUUGCAAUACCAUAGUUGAUGCCAGGAAUGCCGGCGGCCGCACUUUUGAUGCAUUUGCAAGCUGCUUGCCGGUCUGGUGUUGUUUGGGCGGCGGAGUUGAGAGAUUUGAUGCCGCUGCAGCAACCUUGGGGAACGGCACCAGCACCAUUCCCUCUCAAGUAAUUAAUGCAGGGUGCGAGGGAGCCUGUGACUUGACCACAGGUUACGGUCCCUUGAGCCAGGGGUGCACCCACCACCAUGCACAACACCACCACACAUGCAAGCUUAAGGGACAUUGAGCUAGCCAUAUCGAUUAAUUACAAGAAAAACAAACUUGUAAGGAAAAUGCUUGCUUGGAGUAGUAGUAGUAUUGCUGAUUGUUGCGUGGUUAGGGCCCGAGGGUAGGAGGGUUUUUAUAGCCAAAAGUUUUGUGAAGGGAUAUGGAACGAACUGAGAAACACGUACGAAUAGAAUAUGGUUAGGCGUUGGUAGUUGUCCCAAUUCAAUGCCAAGGUUUCUUUUUUUCUUUUUCAUGUUUCAGCUUAUGGUUGAGUGUGUUUAAUGCUUUGAAAAAGGUUUGUAUCUACCACUUUCAUCUUCAUCACUAAUGCUGAAUUACUCCGUUGAUUAAUGCAUCAUAUUAGCCUUGUCCUAGUGUUACCGGUUUUCUGAUAUUAGUAGCUUUACCAAUAAAAGAUGCUAUCAAAUAUAGUUUUCAGGAUGAUAUUAAAAAUUAAGGUUUUUUAGUUACAAAUAAAAUUGUCACAUUAUCAAAUUUUAAAGAUAUGAAAUUAUUAUUAUAAACUCAUCUAUAGAGAAAUUAUUUUAUGAGCCCUUUCCACCACAUUAUUCACAGUCCAUUUUCAAUUAUUUAAUAAUAUUUCAACAAUAUUUUUCAUGUCAUUGACACAUAAUUUUAAUAAAUUUUUUACCCUGAACCUUGAGUCUAGAAUCCCAAACCCUAAAUAAAAAACUUAAAACCCCAAACUAUAACCCCAAACACUUGCAUCAUAAACUCGAACCGCGAACCUCAAACUCAUAAUCUGUAACCUUGAACCCAAACUUGUAAUCUCGAACCCUUGAACCCUUGAACCCUGAACCUAAACCUUGAACCCUGAACUCAAAGCCCAAAACCAAAACUGAACCCUGAACCUUAAAUCUCAAACCCAAACCUUAAACCUCGAGGUUUGGGUUCAAGGUUCAAGGUUCAGGGUUUGAGUUCAAGGUUCGAGGUUUAGGAUAAAAUAAUUACCAAAAUUUGUAACAGAAUAAAAGAGUUCGUUUAUAAUUUAAAAAGCAAUUAUUUUAAGUAAUUUAAUUAAAGUGAAAUUAAGUUAGAGAAAAUAUUAGAUAUAGAUGAGUGUAUAAUAAUACUUUAUUGUCUUUAAAAUUUAAUGACGUGGUACUAUUUUAUUGGUGCCUCAAACUAUACUUUUUAGAAUAAUCCUAAUACAAUUUAUUCCCAUAUUAAAUACGUAUGCUUUCUAUAUUUUUUCGAAAAAAUAAAUUUUAUUCAUAAACUUUCUAUAUAUAAAUAUAUGUUUUAUUUAAAAUUUAUAAAUACAGAAAAAUUAAAAUAUAAAUAUAUGUCAAAGUAGCUAUUAAGUGUAGAAUUAAACAAUUAUAACAUAUAAAUAGAUUAAAAAUUAGGACAAAAAAUCAAUCUAUUACAUAAAAUAUAAAUUAUGAAUGAAAACAAUCUAAAUUAUAGUCUGGCUAAUCAAACUAAAACUUACAUAUAACCAUAUGACUUUAAGGGUCUUGAAUAUGGUUACUUAAAAGCUUAUAGUUCAGCUUUUACCCACUACGUCAAGGCUUCAUUUACGUUUUUUUUAACCAUAUAUUUUUCAUAUAAUUAUAUAUAUAUAUUUUGCAUAAAAAAUCCCCAAGACGUUAAUUACUUCUAUAUAAUGUAGCGAUUAAGUCCUCAAACAAAAAUUGCUCAACAUCAAUGCAUGUAUAGAUCAAUUUUAUAUAUCAAAGACCAAUACUAUCUUUUUCUUAAAAAAAAAAAAAAACCAAUAUGUUGUGAUUGCUUAGCUAUUGUUCCUAAGUCUUCCUGAAAAAGGUUUCACAGCGAGAGGAGAAAAAAAAAAGUUGAACUUGUCUUGGUUUGCCCCAUAAUGAUUGAAGCAUAGACAAGAUUAUAAAUGUUAAUUUAGUAUACGACAUAAUAAUAUAAUAUAAUAUAUUUAAAUGUAUAUCUCCUCACCUCCUAGACGCUGUCAGUUAUUUUAUUUUUUGGGAUUCUUUUAACAAAAGGUUGAGCUUUUUAUUAGGUUUUAUUUGAUUUUUCAUUUAUUAAUAUAAUUUUUUUAUUUUUAUAUAUUUUAGUUAUUAUUAAUUUUUGUUGGAAAUUUGUACGGUCUUGUUCUAACAACAAUUACAACAAGCUUUUUGGAACAAUCAAAAGUUUUGGGUGUUGGCAUGUUUGACUUUUAAUGGCUUAUGUUUUAAUAUUAGUUAACAACAAAUGAUAAGAGAAUUUCAUGGUAAAUUAGAAUAUAAUUAUCAUCCAUUUGAUUAGUCUUGAAGAGGAAGGAGAGGAGUUUUAACUUUGGUGGACACCCAUCCUUAUCCUUGUCUUUUAGAGUGUUUGAAGCUAUUGGAGAACUUGGUUUUAAAGAUUUUAUUUGAUAAAUAUUCAAAAUAAUUAAUUUGAUAAUUUCAACUUUUAAAGGAGAGUUUAAAACUUAUCAAAAUAUUAUUUGAUAAACACUUGUAGAGGCGUAUAAAUAGGCAACAGUGUGGUGUAACUUUGUUUGUUGUUUUGGAGUGUCUUAAACUUUUAUUUUUUUGCUAUUCCAUUGGGUAACUUUAUGACACUCUCUUUUUAGGUAUUAUUUGGAGAUGUUUAGUAAUUGUAUUGUGAGGAAUUUGAGUGAGUGAUUGCAUUGAAGAAAUGCGACCUAAAUGUAUAUGUUAAACUCUUAUCUAGGACAUAAAUUCCAUGAACAAGGUACCCAUGUUAAUAACAUGUCACCACUUCGCAUCUUUAUGGUAUUGACCCUAUGUAGUUAGACCCUAUAUGACGUAAACAACACUUAUAGUGUGCACGAUAUCGUAGGCUUGAACGUUGAUUGAAUGCAACCUAUAUUUUGGUGCCUUUGUCGGAAAUGAUGUAUGCAUCGGGUUGCGGUACAAAUGCCUUCUCAGGUUAGUUAAGAAGAAAUCCCAUUCAUCAUUGGAUUCUUCAGGAGUUAUUACAAAAGCUAUUGGCAGGAUUUUUAGGUUACCAUCUUAUGCAACAACUACUAACAACCGAUGGUCGCAUAUUCUAUACAGGAAUGUGCCGUUAAUUUGGAAAAGUGGCUUACAGUACCAAAAUGUAGUUCUGCAUUGCUUAAAAGUCCAAAAGCAACGGUGGAAAACUCCUUUUCCAGGGACCAAGCAAUCGUCAUAAUACGCAGGCUCCAUUUUUAACUUGGUUACAGAACCUAGUAUGUACCACUCUAGUAUCUAACACCAUUGCCACAAUUUAUAGUAGGAUUUCUCCCACCCUCUAUUCAUUUUCUCCAAUGCCUUCUAUUUUUGCAACUAUGUCUUAUGCUAGGACAUGGUGUAAUCGGAUUCUCUACAGAUGUGUGCGAUCAAAAUUGGGACCAGAAUCGUAGGACUUGCUUUUGCCAUGGGUAAUAGAAUUUUAGAUAUCAUGUCUAAAUCUAAUUUUGGAUGAUCAUUCGAUAUGCUUGAAAAACAAGAAAUCAAGUCACUAUGUGUAAUAGAAUGUAAAAAAAGGCUAGGAUUCGAGUCGAUGUUGUUAGCCAUAUUACAUACCAGCUACAACACAUGUAUGUGGCACGAUAAAUUUCCUACGUUUAAAAUGCCAACUUCUUCGUCAUAAAUGCCAUGAUUUUCCAUAGACAUCUUGUUGCACGCAUUGUGCGCAUCGCCUUAUAUUUCUCGGAUUGAGAGCAUGUAAUAGUGAAGUUGACACCAAGUUGUAUGCUAUACUACUUGAUUGUAGCUACAAAAGCAUAUUUGGAGUCAAAUUCCAUCCCAACCUCUAAGUGGUCGAAAUUUGUUGAUGAAGUCGCAUACCUUAGUCUUCUACGGGGGAGGUCUGGGAAUUCUAAAACCACUUUCACUAGUAAGACUGAGAGUACGCAUAUGGGGUGGGGGUUUGUAUUUCGUGAAACUUAGGUCAUCCCCUCGAGCGAUGUCUAAAGCUUGACCAUUAGAUCCAUCGUCUUCUAGUUCAGUAGGAAUGGGAUCUAGUUCUAAAAUUACUACAAUUUCGCACCAUCCAGUCCAACCACCUCUCCUGGGUCAUUAUCUGAUUUAGACCCCUCUUUGACCACUUUGUUCUCUUGUCCCUCUUUGUUAUCAACCCUGGUUGUAAGUCCAGGGUUGGAUGUACCCUCUCUGGUCAAAGUUGUCAAGAGUAGAUCAUUCAUUCUUGUAAAUCCGAUGUCAAUCCCAAAAUCAAUUCUGUUUGGCCUACCCAGUAACUUGAUGGUGUACCAUAUGAGUGUUAUCGAGGUUGAACAUAGGUGUGUCAAAGUUGAAACCAAAGGCACUGAUAGAAUGUUGUGCGGCUGUGUUGUAGGCCUGGUGACCGAAUACGUCUAACUAUCCCCCGAAGUUGAAAUCGAGGGAUGAAAUCGAUGAAUGCCUCACCAUUGAUGAUGUUAAUAAUGUGUCUUUGUAUAAGCUUUGUAGAAAUGAUCUGAAUCCACAACAAAACCGUGUGGCCAGACUUUUUGCUUCUUGAUUUGGCUAGAAAUUUGGCGGACACGGUAUAAUCGAGCUUGGGCCACCUUUUUCCUCUUCAGCAAAGACUGUAUAUUCUCACUAGAGUAAUGAGUUUCGAUCACUGUCUUCAAACCGUUGUCCCCUGUGAUCUGAAAAAUGGAAUAUCUAACGGGGUUAAAUGAUGUUAGAUAUCUACAUUUCAGGCUCAAAAUUCUUCUUCAGAUCCCUACUUUAUGCCUAAACCUUGUUCAAAGCUCUUUUAACGUUAUGCUCUAGUUGAAUGUCAGAUCUUUAGAUUGGGUUGAUACAAAAAUGGGCUCAAUUUCAGCCUCACAAUUUUGACCGUUGUAAUGGACAAUAGCUCUGGCUCGUCUCCUCAUCUUGAACCAAAUAUUCUAUUCCACAUGUUUAAAAUCGAGAAAAUUGUAAAAAUAUAGUUCUCAUCACCCAAAUCCCUAAAUUUACACUUACUUUAAUGAAAUACCUUUGCUUCGACAAUAUUGUCAGUAUAAAAUUUUUGUUUUUUACUACAACAUCGAUAACUCCUAAUGCCAACAAUCUGCUUCAAACAUCUGUAUGGAAAAUCCAAGAAUUAUAUUGAGUUUUUUUAUAGAGCCUUUUCCUCGACGCACAUGAAACGAUUCUAGCAACAACACAUGUCAAGGCAUUAGUUGUUUUUGAGGUAUACACUAAAAAUUAAAAUUUGUGGGGGAGAAAACGUUCCCCGCAACGAUGUUUUUCAGCACCUAGACAUAGCAUUGAAAUUUAUCCUAGGAAUCCCGGGUUGUAGGGGCUUAGAGGUUGAAGCAAUCAAGUUGGCUUGGGUAUUGAAAGACCAUAAAGAAAAUGCCUAUUGCAGGAAGCAUUUCCACCUGACUUGGCAAUCAAAAUGCCUCCUGCAGGACGCGUUUUCCAGCCACAUCUCUGAUAUGUUAGUCGAAAACGCAUCUUGCAAGAGGCGUUUGUACUGCCAUGUUAGGUAAAAACACUUCCUGCAGGGAACAUUUUCUUUAUGGCCAUUUCAACACCCAGGCCAACUUAAUUGCUUCUGCCUCUGAGCCCUUACAACACGGGAUUCUCGGGAUAAAAAAAUUUCCCUUUUUACCCCACCCCAUCCCUUAUAUAAAUGCAUGUUCUCAUCCCCUACUCACCCAUAUCUCAGUCUCCUUUAAAUUAUUUUUUUCUUUUUCUUCCGUGUUGAAAUUUUCAAGUUUAAAGAUUUAUUUCUCUCACACUUUGAGGGGGAUGUAAUCAUAGUUUUAAGUUGUGUUUGAGUUCACAAUAAUGUCGUGGCGCUUGAUAACUUACAAAUUUCACUUGUCGUGUGAGUAUGGAGCCAUCACUUGAGAAAUCGAGAUCGCUUUGCAACUCGAGGUCCAAGUUGACGGUGUAAAUAAGGCUUCAAGUUUACAAAGGUUAUGCUAUUAAAAGGAUGGAGCAAAACCGGGACUGUAGUUGAUGAUGGUGAUGCAAGCACAAGAACUAGUUUUUCCUCAUUGGAAGAGCAUACUUUAUAAAAUCCAUAUACAAGUACGAGGGAGAAAAUCACAGGGGUCUUCCAGUAUAAUCAAGUAAUUCAUUUUAUCCUUUUCCAGCAAAGGCAAUGACCCUGUUACUAAAACCUAUUACAUCCCAAUUCUAUCAUAGGUAAUAGUAACGGUGUCACUGUCUUUGGUGGAGAUGGAUAAAAAAAUUUACUUAAUUAUACUGAGAUACCAUUGCAUUUUUCUUCCUCGUACUUGUGUAUGAGUUUUAUAAAGCAUCAUUUUCUAAUGAAAAAAGUUUUUUGUCGUGCCCGCAUAACCAUUGUAAAUUACAGCUCCAAUCAUACUCCGUCCUUUGAUAGCGUAACAUUUUGUAAACUUGAAGCUCUAGUUACACUUCAAUUUCAGACCGUAUAAUCACCCUUAACUGGGACCAUGAGUUGCAAUGCGAUCUGGCUUCUCGGGUGAUGGCUCCAUACUCACAUGACAAAUGAAAUUUGUAGGUCACCUAACUCCACGACACCACCAUAAAUUCAAACAUUCCUUAAAACUAUAACAGUGUCUAUCUCAAACAAGAAUGAAAAUAAAUGUUCAAACUUCUAAUUUCAAAUUGCAAGAAAAAAAAAAGAAAAAAAUAAAUUUUAGCAAAGUAAAAAUGGGUCCUACCGGCACAUUUUCAUUGCCACAUCAAUGAAAAUACACCUCGUACGACACGUUAUUCUUUCUUCGUAAACAAUGUAAAUCAAUAAAUUUAAAAAAAAAUUAUACAUUCUCAAAUAACUCUUUUUUUCAGCAUUUUUGUUAAAUUUAUCCCAUAAUACUGCUACUUCUUGUUUCCUGGGUUAUUUUUAUUACUGCUGGUUGUACCACCCUCCUACUGUGCGCCGGUUAUAGCAACUCACUCAAGAUUCUAAAUACUAAUAUAAACACCAUUUCUUUUAUUCUUAGUUUUUUUAGUGAUUAACGUGGUUUUAAUUAUCGUUAGAUCACGUGGGUGUUUAUAUGAAAUGCUUGAAAUCGUCACGCAGGACAAAAAAAAAAAAGAAAAAGAAAAGGAAAUGAAGAGUAUAUAUAUAGAGGAAACAACUAGUGAGAGUGAUAUUAAUAUUUAGAGUAGGUAAAGAUAGUAUUAUAUAGUCGCAUAUGCGACCUUGUACAUUACCACUAACUCUAAAACUAGGAUAACUCCAACAAUGAAUAGUACCGCUAUGGAUUUUUAACAUUCAUUUUUAUUCUGUCGACAUCACUAUUUCCCUUCCAUUAGCUGAUCCCAACUUCCAUGACCACACUUCACUUAAUGCUGCAAAUGCAACCACACCAAACAAAACAUUCAUAAAUUAAUAAAUCAAUUGCCAUAAGCGAUAAACUUUGGGUCAUUUUCUUUUUCCGUAAUUUCAAAGAAACCUAGUUUAAAUUAGAUACGAACCUUUUGCAGUCAGUGGAAGGGCUGAUCUUGUAAGGGAUGUUGAUACCGCACUUGCCUGGGAGUCCGGCUGCAGUGCUAUAGUUGAUGCCAGAAAUGCCGGUGGCCGCACUUUUGAUGCAGCUGCAAGCUGCUUGCCGGUCUGGUGUUGUUUUGGCGGCAGAGUUGAGAGAUCUGAUGCCGUUGCAGCAAGCUGGGGGAGCAGAACCAGCACCAUUCCCUUUCAAGUAAGCAAUGCAGGGUGCGAGGGCGCUUGUGAUUUGACCACAACUUAUGGCCCCUUGAGCCAGGGGUGCACCCACCACCAUGCAAAACACCACCACACAUGUAAGCUUAAGGGACAUUGAGCUAGCCAUAUCAAUUAGUCACAAGAAAACAAACUUGUAAGGAAAAUGCUCGCUUGGAGUAG